GAAGGUCCGGUAUUGAAGUUGGCUGAAACAUUAAAAAGAAACUUUUCACUUUUAUUUUUCUAAAUAGAGGGAAAUUUUAUUAUUUUCCAUUUAUAUAGGAAAGUCAAUGCGUGACCUAUUUUUAUAACCAGUAUAGAUGUGGAAUUGUUCGGGGCUAAUAACUUUUAUGAAUCAGUGACGAAAGAAACUUGGAGUUGUGUAUAUUUUGUAGGAAAGAAAAAAAAUGGAAAAGUUGUGAUACAAACUAGAAAUUGGAGUAUUCUAGGAUUAGAGUAUUUUACCAAGCGAUGUUAAAGUCUCCUUGUGUUAAGAGUGGGCUUCAAGCUUCAAGGGUAUAUUCCUGUGACGAGAGAGUUUGUUUGCCAUCAGAGUUUUUGCAUCUAAAGCAAAAGAAAAGAAGAAAUUUUCUUUGAAAGAAGAAAAAGGAAUUUGCAAAAAAUAAGUUUUGGCAAAUUUCGGAAUCCAACUAGUUGAAAUCCAAUUGUUUAAUAUUGAAAAUCAAGAUGAAGACGACUCCUAUGAAUAAAGGAUUGAUCAGUUUAAAGCAGCAAUAUUGGAAGACGAGGGUUACUGGGAGUGUCAGUUUCCUGACUACAAUGAUUGGCAGUUGCUAGUGUAAAAUUGGAGAGAAGCUUCACUGAAAUUGGGGACUUUGUAUCCUCGUAUUCAAUUGCAACGAAUAAAUAAUAGCAAGCAGGGAAAGAGAAAGAGAAAGAGGAAACAAAAACUAAUUUCUAAGUUCAAAUUAGGUUUCUUUCAUUUUGUUUUAAAAUUAUAGGUAAU
Long non-coding RNA from Leptopilina heterotoma, 783 nucleotides. RefSeq lists it as uncharacterized. The record is from RefSeq and is a predicted model, not a curated record. NCBI's taxonomy places the organism in Eukaryota, Metazoa, Arthropoda, Insecta, Hymenoptera, Figitidae. The transcript has 3 exons.